Chinchilla lanigera (long-tailed chinchilla) is the source of this 718-nucleotide long non-coding RNA. RefSeq lists it as uncharacterized. Lineage: Eukaryota; Metazoa; Chordata; Mammalia; Rodentia; Chinchillidae. The transcript is spliced from 3 exons. The record is from RefSeq and is a predicted model, not a curated record.
AAAAAAAAAAAAGAAAAAGAAAAAGAACCUCUUGUAACCGAGUGGGGAUGACGGCAGAGGUCUCUAAAGGAUGGCUGAGAGGAUGGGCAGAUGGGGCAACAGGAGCAGUGCGGGCCUCUCCUGACGCUGCGGUGCACACUGCACCCGCUUCCCGGACAUCCUGAACAUCCUGGGGAAACCCAGGACCAGACCCAACCCAACUAAAGCGUGGGUUCUUCAAGCUCUUGCUGACCCUCCUGCGCUCUUCCCAGACGAAGAUACUUGCAUUGGUGAACCAUACCACCUGAGGAUCUUGGAGGAGUAGGUCACUGAUGUCUUACCUGCUUGCAUAGUUCUGAGAGAUUGCGUGUUCCCAAGACUGGCUAAUCUUUGGGCCUAUAGGCAUAACCUCAGGAGUGUCUAAGAGCACAGCCUGAUACUUGGUCUCAAUUAUUGAAUGUAGAAAGAGCCAUGUCCAGCAAUUGGGUUAUAAGUAUCUGAGGCCCCCUCUGAAGGUUUUGCAGUUUAUGGUGACUACUUGGGGCUGACUGACAGAUGAAAUAUUGACCCAUUAGUGCCUCUCCCUCCAUAGAUCAGUCUAUAUUUGCAGAAGAUCUUUGCUAAUUGCUUAUGGGACAAAGCUGGAUUUUCCCUUGCACCCUGUAAGACCCCACUCACUGUGUCAUAAUUAACAGACUUUUAAAUGCACCUUUUCUUUUUCUUUCCUUUUUUGUUUUGA